UUCUCCUCAAAAUGCCAAACUGGAGUGAACUUGAAGAUUUCAAGACCAAUCAGAACUAAAACCUUCUGCAGAGUUUUUUUAAAUUGACUUGGCUCAAAUGUCUGGAUUUGUAAAACGGCACUGAGAAAGAUGAUAAUACACUGUUGGCAUUUUGGGAAGAGGUGACCAGUCACUUCUGCUGAAAAAUGAUCUGAGCCUGCUUCUACUGAUGUCAAAGCUUGAAUCCCCGGAAAACUUAAAAGCAAGGAGUAGUUGGGUCCUCCUCCUCCUUACUGCUAUCAACUAUUAAUAGAUUAAGCAAUAAAAUUUUCAGGGACUUAAAUUAAAGGAUCUCAUUUAGAUGCUUGUGUCUACUUACAUGCCUAAAAGGUGGAACAGGCUCUGGCUCCAAGUGAUUGGCCAGUGUUAUUCAGGAAGUCUGAGGCCGGGCAGGAGGAAAAUCCAAGGCAGCAUCCUGACCAGUACAAUGUUCUUCCUUCUUCAGAGAUUCAAAGCCUGCAGCAUGCUGAAUGCAGCAGUGGCAGAUGUUAAGCAGCUUUCGUUUGUUCACAGCAGCCACAGAUGUUGGAAAGGUAUGUUGCUGUCCUAGAAAUGCUAGUUUCCCUCCAUUCGUCCUUUUUUUUUGUUUUAAAAUACAGACUGCCAUAAAACAAGCCGAGCUUCAGGGAGGUGUCCCAGUAGAAAUACAGAAAGAAGAGCUUAAGUAUCCCUUCAUGAUGGACUUUUUUUUUUAACUUAAUUAGGCAAGAUGUCAUCACACUACAUUUUACAAAAUACAGAGCCACUGAGGCAAAGUUCAAGGGCUUUGUAUUUUAUAGAUGGGUUUCAUGAGCACUUAGCUGGACACUCAUCCCCUUAAAAGCUAACUUUCCUCCCUCCUUCCCCCCAGUGUAUGGGAGAAUAUAAACAGGACUCAGCCAGAUUAGGAAGCGUGUAGGAAAGUUAGUGUCCUGUGUGAAUUCUUUUGUCGCAACUUGAUCAAAAUUAGCUGGAAUAUCCCAGGAUGUUUUUUUCUGAAGACCCAAGUCAUUCUGCAUCAAGUAGGUGCAGUUUUACUAACAUUCAAUUGUAAGAUGUGUGUAGUGUUAGAUCUAGUUUACUGCCAUUUCUUCAUAAUUUGCCAUUGGUAACUUUCCUCCAGCAGAAGAGGAUCAUUUUAGUACCUUCUGCUGGCUUCCCCAUCUGUUUAACUCUUGUGCUUUAAAAAGUCUCUGCGAAAUGAUGUUGGCUAGCCAGGCAGGGCUUGAUGCAUCGUGCCCUAAGCCAGUCAGUUAACAGGUUCCUAAGACAAGAUGGCUUGGCUCCACAGCUCCUAACCAAAAAUUCAUUGCCCUAUACAAGCAUCCCCCCUCAAAUGCGAUGGGAUGUAAUCCUAUAAAAUAUCCUAUACAAAAAGGGCCACUCUCUUGGUCUACAGACUUGAGAUAUUUAAAACUAGACAUGUACAUGUCACUAAGUAGGAAGGAAAGGGAAAAGCAGAGGAGAAGAACACAUACAGAACACGACAAAGAAAUAAAGAUAUGUUCAAGAAGUGAUGCAACUAAAAUACUGACACAAACACAUACAGAAGAAGCUGGUACCUAUUUAGCACUCGUCAUUAAGACAUUAAAUACUAGACAAACAAAUGUCAGCCAAAGACCAGUUAUCCAUAAAUACCUCCAGCUACUGCCAUGUCAUAGGACAGUUCAAAGAUAGGAGACUAAGCAGUGUGGUCUAUGCAGAAUGUUCUGCUAAACAACCUCCA
Long non-coding RNA from Gavialis gangeticus (Gharial), 1744 nucleotides. RefSeq lists it as uncharacterized. NCBI's taxonomy places the organism in Eukaryota, Metazoa, Chordata, Crocodylia, Gavialidae. The record is from RefSeq and is a predicted model, not a curated record. The transcript is spliced from 3 exons.